GCACUUCAUAGUCUCCGACGCACCUCCAAACCCUUUCUCCUGCUCUAGGCCCAGCGCCUUGGACGUGCACAGUAGAUCCCUCCCGGCUUCCCGGCUUCCCGUCUCGUCACCCUCUGGAAUGACGGACGCUGGGGCUUUGAUGGGCACCGGGUGAAAUGGGCAGAGUGGCGCUUACCCGGGAUGGCGGUGAAGCGGGACCGGGAGGUCAUCGUGACAAAGGGUGGCAUGAGGUACCUGGCCUUGACGCCCUCCCCGGCUAGACGGUCCAGAUUGGGGGUGUCCACAUCCUGAUCCUAGUCCCAGCGGAAGCCCUGGAAGGAGAUCAGCAGCAGCUGUGAGUGCUCUUCCUCCCUGGGACGGGGUGGCUACUCAGUAGGACAGGCGGCAGCAGCUGGAGGGCCCCGAACCCUGUCAUCCCAUGAGCACCUGUCAUGCACUCCUCACAGAGAUCGUGGGCUUCUCCCUCU
This 467-nucleotide long non-coding RNA is filed under the name Homo sapiens (human). RNAcentral's name for it is "non-protein coding lnc-ALG1L-2:31". Lineage: Eukaryota; Metazoa; Chordata; Mammalia; Primates; Hominidae. The record is from RNAcentral.